RNAcentral lists this ribosomal RNA (199 nucleotides) under uncultured bacterium. RNAcentral describes it as "partial 16S ribosomal RNA". It matches the Rfam family "Bacterial small subunit ribosomal RNA", at positions 1303 to 1500 of the family's 1533-position model. The record is from RNAcentral.
GUCUGCAACUCGACUACAUGAAGCUGGAAUCGCUAGUAAUCGCGGAUCAGAAUGCCGCGGUGAAUACGUUCCCGGGUCCUUGUACACACCGCCCGUCACACCAUGGGAGUCGGGAAUGCCCGAAGCCAGUGACCCAAGCGAGAGCAGGGAGCUGUCGAAGGCAGGUCGGAUGACUGGGGUGAAGUCGUAACAAGGUACC